Molecule: ribosomal RNA, 512 nt
Filed under: uncultured Actinomyces sp.
Lineage: Bacteria; Bacillati; Actinomycetota; Actinomycetes; Actinomycetales; Actinomycetaceae
Description: bacterial SSU rRNA
Rfam family: Bacterial small subunit ribosomal RNA
Source: RNAcentral
GACGAACGCUGGCGGCGUGCUUAACACAUGCAAGUCGAACGCUGAAGCUCAGCUUUUGUUGGGUGGAUGAGUGGCGAACGGGUGAGUAACACGUGAGUAACCUGCCCUCUUCUUUGGGAUAACGCCCGGAAACGGGUGCUAAUACUGGAUAUUCACUUGCCUUCGCAUGGGGGUUGGUGGAAAGGGUUUUUUCUGGUGGGGGAUGGGCUCGCGGCCUAUCAGCUUGUUGGUGGGGUGAUGGCCUACCAAGGCUUUGACGGGUAGCCGGCCUGAGAGGGUGACCGGUCACAUUGGGACUGAGAUACGGCCCAGACUCCUACGGGAGGCAGCAGUGGGGAAUAUUGCACAAUGGGCGAAAGCCUGAUGCAGCGACGCCGCGUGAGGGAUGGAGGCCUUCGGGUUGUAAACCUCUUUCGCUCAUGGUCAAGCCGCAGCUUUGGGUUGUGGUGAGGGUAGUGGGUAAAGAAGCGCCGGCUAACUACGUGACAGCAGCCGCGGCGAUACGAAGAGCG